UACGUAGGAGGCAAGCGUUGUCCGGAAUUAUUGGGCGUAAAGAGCUCGUAGGUGGCCUGUCGCGUCGGCUGUGAAAACUCGGGGCUCAACUCCGAGCUUGCAGUCGAUACGGGCAGGCUAGAGUUCGGCAGGGGAGACUGGAAUUCCUGGUGUAGCGGUGAAAUGCGCAGAUAUCAGGAGGAACACCGGUGGCGAAGGCGGGUCUCUGGGCCGAUACUGACACUGAGGAGCGAAAGCGUGGGGAGCGAACAGG
RNAcentral lists this ribosomal RNA (253 nucleotides) under uncultured bacterium. Its description in RNAcentral is "partial 16S ribosomal RNA". It matches the Rfam family "Bacterial small subunit ribosomal RNA", at positions 524 to 776 of the family's 1533-position model. The record is from RNAcentral.